This 840-nucleotide ribosomal RNA is filed under the name Arthrobacter sp. RNAcentral describes it as "bacterial SSU rRNA". It matches the Rfam family "Bacterial small subunit ribosomal RNA", at positions 16 to 866 of the family's 1533-position model. The record is from RNAcentral. Lineage: Bacteria; Bacillati; Actinomycetota; Actinomycetes; Micrococcales; Micrococcaceae.
AAUCCUGCUCAGGAUGAACGCUGGCGGCGUGCUUAACACAUGCAAGUCGAACGAUGACCCGGUGCUUGCACCGGUGAUUAGUGGCGAACGGGUGAGUAACACGUGAGUAACCUGCCCUUAACUCUGGGAUAAGCCUGGGAAACUGGGUCUAAUACCGGAUAUGACUCCUCAUCGCAUGGUGGGGGGUGGAAAGCUUUAUUGUGGUUUUGGAUGGACUCGCGGCCUAUCAGCUUGUUGGUGAGGUAAUGGCUCACCAAGGCGACGACGGGUAGCCGGCCUGAGAGGGUGACCGGCCACACUGGGACUGAGACACGGCCCAGACUCCUACGGGAGGCAGCAGUGGGGAAUAUUGCACAAUGGGCGCAAGCCUGAUGCAGCGACGCCGCGUGAGGGAUGACGGCCUUCGGGUUGUAAACCUCUUUCAGUAGGGAAGAAGCGAAAGUGACGGUACCUGCAGAAGAAGCGCCGGCUAACUACGUGCCAGCAGCCGCGGUAAUACGUAGGGCGCAAGCGUUAUCCGGAAUUAUUGGGCGUAAAGAGCUCGUAGGCGGUUUGUCGCGUCUGCCGUGAAAGUCCGGGGCUCAACUCCGGAUCUGCGGUGGGUACGGGCAGACUAGAGUGAUGUAGGGGAGACUGGAAUUCCUGGUGUAGCGGUGAAAUGCGCAGAUAUCAGGAGGAACACCGAUGGCGAAGGCAGGUCUCUGGGCAUUAACUGACGCUGAGGAGCGAAAGCAUGGGGAGCGAACAGGAUUAGAUACCCUGGUAGUCCAUGCCGUAAACGUUGGGCACUAGGUGUGGGGGACAUUCCACGUUUUCCGCGCCGUAGCUAACGCAUAAGUG